RNAcentral lists this ribosomal RNA (795 nucleotides) under uncultured bacterium. RNAcentral describes it as "bacterial SSU rRNA". It matches the Rfam family "Bacterial small subunit ribosomal RNA", at positions 8 to 796 of the family's 1533-position model. The record is from RNAcentral.
AGAGUUUGAUCAUGGCUCAGAUUGAACGCUGGCGGCAUGCCUUACACAUGCAAGUCGAACGGCAGCACGGGGGCAACCCUGGUGGCGAGUGGCGAACGGGUGAGUAACACAUCGGAACGUACCCAGUUGUGGGGGAUAACCAGUCGAAAGACGGGCUAAUACCGCAUGAUCUGGCGACAGCAAAGCGGGGGAUCGGUAACGACCUCGCGCGAUUGGAGCGGCUGAUGUCCGAUUAGCUAGUUGGUGGGGUAAAGGCCCACCAAGGCUUUGAUCGGUAGCUGGUCUGAGAGGAUGAUCAGCCACACUGGGACUGAGACACGGCCCAGACUCCUACGGGAGGCAGCAGUGGGGAAUUUUGGACAAUGGGGGCAACCCUGAUCCAGCCAUGCCGCGUGAGUGAAGAAGGCCUUCGGGUUGUAAAGCUCUUUCGGUAGGAACGAAACGGUUACGGCUAAUACCUGUGACUAAUGACGGUACUUACAGAAGAAGCACCGGCUAACUACGUGCCAGCAGCCGCGGUAAUACGUAGGGUGCGAGCGUUAAUCGGAAUUACUGGGCGUAAAGGGUGCGCAGGCGGUCUCGUAAGCUGGGUGUGAAAGCCCCGGGCUUAACCUGGGAAUGGCAUUCAGGACUGCGAGGCUUUGAGUGCGGCAGAGGGAGGUGGAAUUCCCGUGUAGCAGUGAAAUGCGUAGAGAUGUGGAGGAACACCGAUGGCGAAGGCAGCCUCCUGGGCCAGCACUGACGCUCAUGCACGAAAGCGUGGGGAGCAAACAGGAUUAGAUACCCUAGUAGUCC